CACCAAGCCACCACUAACCACCGCCGGACGAGGAGUUACCAAUGACAGGGUCUGGCUCUCUUACGUACACACGGGUUUCGGGGCGCAAGCGCAUUGGCCAAUCGGCUCUUGUAACAACAGAGCAGGGCCGGUUGCCAAGCAACUAACUAGGGGGCGUGGCCAAAUUCGGGUGAGCAACGCCCUCGACGAACUUUUGGAGCAGCUGCCCGGCGCACACAGACACAGUACACAGGCGGGCAACGCGCUCACAGAUACAAGCGUGCGAGCUCACAGAUACAGAUACUUUAGCUCACAGAUACGCCGUAUCGCCUAAUGCCGCCAACUGAGCUGAGCGACGCCAUGUUACAGUUAACGAUUUUCCCUAAUGCGAUCAAUAAUCGCUCGCUCUCGCUCUGGCUGUGCCAAACGCAAUAAAACUAAAAAAAGACGAGGCAAAUAAAACUGGAAAAUUCAAAAUAAAAUCUAGACAAGGUCUGGAGACGGACGGAAUCUGGGGGAUUGAGUACGAAGUGUGAGAAUGCGACGCUCUGUUUUGCCAGAGAACCACCUAGCUCUGUGGGUUGGAAUAAAAAAGAACGCCUUGGCUCCCAGAAGAAGACAUUAAUAAUCCCCGUGCACAUUUUUAGGUUAAGGUACACCAAUGUCACUCUCAUUCAUUCCAUAUCAUUCCUCGCAUUCGUGGCGAGGCAACGCGAGGCAGCAGUAACAGCAGCAGAACAGAAACAGAAGUGCCGCAGUUCUCCUUUUUGGCAAGUCAUUGCGAAAGUGACCCAGUUCUGUGCCAACUCCACAACUACAUCCACAUCCAACUUAUCAAAAUAACCAUGAGCAUCAAUCUCAGCAUCCGCAUCUCAUCCUUGCCGGCUACCUGGUGCCAGCCGAGCAGUUCAUUGAUGCAGAAGAAGAUGCGCGUGCUGGCGGAUACUUCCUGGUAGUGCACUUUUAUGGACGCGAGUAAAACUCAUUUUAAUUUCGGCCAUAAACCAUAAGACUAGGACGAAAAUCGUUCUACCAUCGCUUGACGCCUUCCAUUGUGCAUUCCGCUUAACCCUUUCACCCAGCCAAGUGUCUGUCCAUGUGCGCGCAAGUGUGUGUGUGAAUCCGAACCCGGCUCAUUAUGUUGGCCAUAAACGAUCAAUUGUCUGGUUUCUCAAUGAAAGUUUUUACUGAAAUAAGUUCUACCUGAGUAUUCGGAAAUGCGCGGGAUUUCCUAUUUAUUAAUUACAUGAUUUUUGAAAUGUC
Drosophila ananassae is the source of this 1242-nucleotide long non-coding RNA. RefSeq lists it as uncharacterized. The transcript has 2 exons. NCBI's taxonomy places the organism in Eukaryota, Metazoa, Arthropoda, Insecta, Diptera, Drosophilidae. The record is from RefSeq and is a predicted model, not a curated record.